CAUGGCGCUCUCUCGGUUUCUCUUCGGCACAAAGCAUUCCUCGGGUCUUCCGAAUCAGCGACGUUUAAACUGCGGAUGUGUGGGAAGUGCCGCCUGUUGCGUUCAUUCACGCGGAAUUGCAAAAACUAAAUUCAGCGGAAUCGCAUGCCUGCGGCAAUUUCUACGUAUAAUGCCACUGGUAUAAUUUUGUACAAUAGGAGAUGAGAGAAGCGAUUAGCGAUUUAUUGAUAGAUAAUGAACACAGUUAACAAAAUUCUGUGUUGAAAGUUUCCUUGCUCUCAUCCUGUAAAUGACAAUCAGAUUUAUAAUCUGCAAUGAUAUUUUACAUAUGUUACAUAUGGCAUGAUAUUUUAUGUAGAUUUUUUCUAUUAAAAAAAGAAGGAAGCAAGAAAUGCCAUUAAAUGGUAUAAAUUUCUGAUUGAAUGUUAAAGAGUAAUCUAUUAUGUUAAGUGUUUCCUUCCUCACUUCUUGUAAAUGACAACAAUCUGCAGUCUAUCUUACAAUUAGGUUAAAAAAUCUAUUAAGAAAAGAAGGAAGUAAAAAGUGCAUUAAAUGGUCAUUUUUUGAUCACAUGUUAAAGAAGUGAUUUAUUAUGUUGGGUGUUUCCCUUCUCUCUCCUUGUAAAUGACAAUCUACAAUGUGUAUCUUAGGCUAAAGACUUUCUAUUAAGGGAAGAAGAAAGUAAAAAAUACAUAUCAUUAAAUGGUCAUAAAUUUCUGAUUGAAUGUUAAAGACUGAUCUACAGUUUAAUCUGUAAUAAUCACAGAUUGUCUCGAUAUGAAGUUGCCGCGUGCAUAGUGAAGAAAACCGAGAAGAAAGAACGCGUCGUUGCAUCGGUGUCGCAUAGUGUUUUAAAGUUCGUUCCGCGUUUAAAUACACGUCGCGUUUAAGUUCAUCGUCGAGCGACAAAUAAAUAUGAUAAUAAGCACUCGGCGAACUUCAAAUGCCGCGCAUCUUGGCUUUUGCGCGCCGCAUUGAAGGAAGAAAGUUUAAGCGGACCUUUCCGGCUACAUCGAAGCAGCAUCAUGGCAGGAAAGAAGUGUAUAGAUGGGCCGCACAGGGCAGAUGCCGGGGCAGCAUAUAUAUAUAUAAGGGUAACAUUACUGAUAAGCUGCGCGCGAGUUUGACCGCGAGAAUCUCGAGUGCCGAAUCGUUGUUUCGUGUUGAUUAUCGUUUUUUCUCAUUGUGCAACGUACGUGAAAUACGCGAGCGAUUUAUGCAUCGCGUCGGGAGUGCCGUGUUAAGUGUCGCGCGUCGGGAGUGCCGUGUAAAGUGUCGGGCGAUCGUAAUUUUUCAUGUUUUCGCGAGUGCUACUACCAAGAGAGGAGGAGGAGGCCUAGGGAGGCAUCGGGCGACAGCGGGACAACUAUGAGAUCGAUGUGCUGUGUACUACAAUUUUGCUUUUGCGCGUAUUGAUCUGUCUAGUCUGUUUAUAAACUCUGCUGUUAUUCGCCGAUCAAAAAGCAGUGGAGAUCCGGAAGGAUACUUAUUGCAUCUUGUAAAACCGCGAUCUUCCAGAUGGUGGACGUCUUUCCCCGUAGAAAGGAGCGAGACAGUGCAGGUUUUAACGUCCUUUUUACGACCCUUUAAAAUACCAUGGUCGCGGUAGCUCUACCGGGCUCUCUUAAUUAUUUUACGAGAAUUCCGACGACAAUGCUCAGUAGCAAAAACAAGCGGUAACACCUUGUCUACCUCUUGGCUUGCAAGCCAUAGAGAUUACGAGCAAACGCGUACAGUAUAGCGAAGUCAAAACUUGGACGAUAUACUCUCUCCAAAACUGUGAACCAGCGAUAAUCAACGGCAACAAGCGACGCGUGACCCGGAGAGAGCAUCUCUGUAGUUUGAUAGAAUUAUUUUUACACGCAUUUUUACAGUAACGGCCAUUAAAACGAUCGAUACGUCGAUGUAUGCGCGAAAUAACGGCGACAAAAUAACGUUUGUUUAUUUUUAUAUUUUUUUAUCGCAGUUUUUUAUCAAAGUUAGCACGAACCUGUCGCACUAAAUUUUAUUAGUUACGUUAUUCCCGUUGAUUGAUAACGACCCCGGGACUGAUUAAAUGGAAGAAGCGAUCGUAAUGUCGCUAAUCACGGACGCAUACUUUGCCGAAAGUUGCCGACGAUUUUACGACAUAAACCGUCCAUAUCUGUGUCACGCGAAAGAAUGACGAGGAGAUUCGCGCAUGAAUAAUGCAUUGACCCGUACGACAUCGGGAAAGAAACAUCAUCGGGCACGCGAGGUCGUCGUACCUCAGAAAAUUAAUAAUUUUCGACUUUCGUCUCAACCGGUCGAAAUGCGCGCAAUUAAUCACGCCGAUGUUCGCAAUAGCUUCUCCCAACGAAAUGCGAUUUCGCCCCUUGUCAAGGAAAAUCGAAAAUAUUUGUUUUAUUUAAUUUAUGAACACUGAAAUUUUAUGGCCACGAUUACCAUUGAUGUGGCUGAUUUAUCGAAGAAAGAAAAAGGUCGUCUGCGUCCGGCUAAUUUUUAAUCGACCGCGACUUUUACGCGUCUCUUCUGUCCGCGUCGACGCGGAAUUUCAAAAUCUCUAGAGCCCCGGAGGGCCCGUUUAACUCCGGUAUGGCUAAUAAUAGACCGUCUAAGUGUAGGGCCUACAAGAUUCUACGGUACAUUUACAUUUUUACGGUAAUCCUGUCUAUCGAAACUUUGAUCGAAUGUCUAUCUAAUUUUCAA
Molecule: long non-coding RNA, 2688 nt
Organism: Nylanderia fulva
Lineage: Eukaryota; Metazoa; Arthropoda; Insecta; Hymenoptera; Formicidae
Source: RefSeq, a predicted model, not a curated record